Molecule: ribosomal RNA, 253 nt
Filed under: uncultured bacterium
Lineage: Bacteria
Description: partial 16S ribosomal RNA
Rfam family: Bacterial small subunit ribosomal RNA
Source: RNAcentral
GACGGAGGGUGCGAGCGUUAAUCGGAAUUACUGGGCGUAAAGCGCAUGUAGGCGGCCGAACAAGUCAGGUGUGAAAUCCUCGGGCUUAACCUGGGAAGUGCACUUGAUACUGUCCGGCUAGAGUUUGGCAGAGGAAAGUAGAAUUCCCGGUGUAGCAGUGAAAUGCGUAGAUAUCGGGAGGAAUACCAGUGGCGAAGGCGGCUUUCUGGGCCAAUACUGACGCUGAGGUGCGAAAGCGUGGGGAGCGAACGGG